CCUACGGUGAGCAGCAGUCGAGAAUCAUUCACAAUGGGGGAAACCCUGAUGGUGCGACGCCGCGUGGGGGAAUGAAGGUCUUCGGAUUGUAAACCCCUGUCAUGUGGGAGCAAAUUAAAAAGAUAGUACCACAAGAGGAAGAGACGGCUAACUUUGUGCCAGCAGCCGCGGUAAUACAGAGGUCUCAAGCGUUGUUCGGAAUCACUGGGCGUAAAGCGUGCGUAGGCUGUUUCGUAAGUCGUGUGUGAAAGGCGCGGGCUCAACCCGCGGACGGCACAUGAUACUGCGAGACUAGAGUAAUGGAGGGGGAACCGGAAUUCUCGGUGUAGCAGUGAAAUGCGUAGAUAUCGAGAGGAACACUCGUGGCGAAGGCGGGUUCCUGGACAUUAACUGACGCUGAGGCACGAAGGCCAGGGGAGCGAAAGGGAUUAGAUACCCGGGUAGUC
This 446-nucleotide ribosomal RNA is filed under the name uncultured bacterium. RNAcentral describes it as "partial 16S ribosomal RNA". It matches the Rfam family "Bacterial small subunit ribosomal RNA", at positions 338 to 795 of the family's 1533-position model. The record is from RNAcentral.